UUAAAUUGAAGAGUUUGAUCAUGGCUCAGAUUGAACGCUGGCGGCAGGCCUAACACAUGCAAGUCGAACGGUAACAGGAAUCAGCUUGCUGAUUUGCUGACGAGUGGCGGACGGGUGAGUAAUGUCUGGGAAACUGCCUGAUGGAGGGGGAUAACUACUGGAAACGGUAGCUAAUACCGCAUAACGUCGCAAGACCAAAGAGGGGGACCUUCGGGCCUCUUGCCAUCGGAUGUGCAGAUGGGAUUAGCUAGUAGGUGGGGUAACGGCUCACCUAGGCGACGAUCCCUAGCUGGUCUGAGAGGAUGACCAGCACACUGGAACUGAGACACGGUCCAGACUCCUACGGGAGGCAGCAGUGGGGAAUAUUGCACAAUGGGCGCAAGCCUGAUGCAG
RNAcentral lists this ribosomal RNA (393 nucleotides) under Escherichia coli. Its description in RNAcentral is "bacterial SSU rRNA". It matches the Rfam family "Bacterial small subunit ribosomal RNA", at positions 1 to 391 of the family's 1533-position model. The record is from RNAcentral. Lineage: Bacteria; Pseudomonadati; Pseudomonadota; Gammaproteobacteria; Enterobacterales; Enterobacteriaceae.